UCUCCGUUGGUGAACCAGCGGAGGGAUCAUUACAGGAUUCGCAAGAACUCCCGUAACCACUGUGAACCUUACCUUCUGUUGCCUCGGCGGGGCCUACCCGGUACCGACCCCUUUUGGGCGAAGUUACCCUGUAGCCCGCCGGUGGAUUUUCAAACUCUUGUUAUUUUAAUGUUAUCUGAGCGUCUUAUUUUAAUAAGUCAAAACUUUCAACAACGGAUCUCUUGGUUCUGGCAUCGAUGAAGAACGCAGC
Molecule: unclassified non-coding RNA, 250 nt
Filed under: uncultured fungus
Lineage: Eukaryota; Fungi
Description: sequence contains ITS1, 5.8S rRNA gene
Rfam family: 5.8S ribosomal RNA (bases 202-250)
Source: RNAcentral